Molecule: long non-coding RNA, 1618 nt
Filed under: Amborella trichopoda
Lineage: Eukaryota; Viridiplantae; Streptophyta; Magnoliopsida; Amborellales; Amborellaceae
Description: long non-coding RNA (ATRI_LNC004574)
Source: RNAcentral
AAAACAACUUCUUAUAGUGAAUUUUUGGGGAGGCCUUAAUUUGAUUGUUUAGGGCGUCAGCCUUAUAUAAACUAUUUCCUUGUUUCGCUGCUUACCCAUUUGUAGGAAACAAACAUUGCCUUGUCAUUUGCUCUUUUUCUACUUCUUUCUUGCUCUCUCUACUCUAGGGGUUUUGGGGGGGUUUAACCUGACCUUGUCCNNNNNNNNNNNNNNNNNNNNUAAUUAAUUAUAUAUUACUAUACACAAGUAAUUCGUACAAAGCUAUAUACUAUAAUAUUAUGUAAUUAAUAUGUAUUUUCUCAAAAAAAUGUAUUAUUAUAUAUAUUUUUUGAUAAGUAAAGAAUAUAAUGUAUUAUUAUAUAUAAUGUAUUAUUAUAUAGAGCAAUGAUUUCAUGCAACCGUUGUAUAGUAAUAUGAUGCAAUAACUUUAAAAAACCAUCUUAUGGCCAUUUGUUUGAUCCAAAUUUUGAAAUAUACACUCUUUUCAUUCUAAUGAACAAUCACAAAAAAAAGAAAAAAUUGAAAACACAACCUAGAAAGUAUUUUUUUAACUCAAUUAACAUAAACCGUUCAUUUUGGUGAGAUGCUUAGAUCUAGACCUUAAAAGGAUUUUUUUCAUUUUCAAUGUUUUUGGAUAGCUUUAUUAUCAUUAGAUGAACAAUGUUAAAAAAGGGAAAAAUGAUUUUGAGUUUAUAAAGGCUAAGAUAUUGAAAUUCACAAAAUAAAUGGUCUUGAUUCAUUUUUGGAGGGGACUCAUUUUGACGAUAUCUAGGGUUCAAAUUGAACCUUUUUUUCUUUUUUGGGCAUAAUUAUUGAGAUGAGGAGAGUGGGUGUGCAAAAUUUGGGGUCAUACAAAUAUCACAAAUAUGGUUUUUUAGAAAUGGCGUUACAUUAUACUAUGAUCCAACCGUUGUAUUGGAUCAUUGCUCUAUUAUAUAUUAUAUAAUAUUACAACAUUAUAUUAUAGUAUAGUAUAUAAUUUUCAAAAAAACCAUCUUCCAAGCAAUCCCAAUGGCUGAUAGGUAUCUUUUAGGUCUUUUACGAGAUACUAAUUCUAUAACGUUGAGGCACCUCUAAAUAAUCUUGAAAGAUAAUUUUUCAAAAGCAAAAAUCUUUGUGAUGGGCUAAAAAUAUAUUUUCAUAUCUAAUUAUGAAACUAACUGCUUAAAAAAUAAUGUAAAUCAAGUAGAUUUAUAAGUAUUUGGAAAUAUUAAAAAUUAUUGGUCCAAAUAAUGCAUUACAAGAUGCACUAUCUUUCAAAUAUAAAUUUUUUUUUAUAUAUAUACAUCUCAAGGUUGUGAUGAUUGGUUGAUAUUUUUUGGACAUCAAAACAACUUCUUAUAGUGAAUUUUUGGGGAGGCCUUAAUUUGAUUGUUUAGGGCGUCAGCGAUAUAUAAACUAUUUCCUUUUUUCGCUGCUUACCCAUUUGUAGGAAACAAACAUUGCCUUGUCAUUUGCUCUUUUUCUACUUCUUUCUUGCUCUCUCUACUCUAGGGGUUUUGGGGGGGUUUAACCUGACCUUGUCUGAGCCCUUCUCCCUCCUCUGUGACUCUGUGGAGUUUAAUGAAGGGUUUCAGAAUGAUUUAAGCUAGCGGGCUAUGUCCUUAACUGGCAUGGC